This 199-nucleotide non-coding RNA is filed under the name Streptococcus sp. RNAcentral describes it as "6S RNA". It matches the Rfam family "6S / SsrS RNA". From Rfam's summary of the family: E. coli 6S RNA was the first non coding RNA to be sequenced, but its function was unknown until recently. It consists of 184 nucleotides that fold into an extended hairpin structure with a large single-stranded internal bulge. Lineage: Bacteria; Bacillati; Bacillota; Bacilli; Lactobacillales; Streptococcaceae. The record is from RNAcentral.
AAAUUGCUGUGGUAUACGAAUCCACAUAUAAGUGUUGACCGACUAAUUUUUGUAUUAUCGGGAGACAGAGGUCUAUUAACAGUGUGCAGGCUGGCUCACCCAGAAGCAACUUAAGUUAGUAGCGACGAGUCGCCCACCUGCUUUUUUACGUCGCGGGUUCAAUACAAACCGUGGAUCAUCGGUACCAAUACAGCAUCCA